Molecule: ribosomal RNA, 460 nt
Filed under: uncultured bacterium
Lineage: Bacteria
Description: partial 16S ribosomal RNA
Rfam family: Bacterial small subunit ribosomal RNA
Source: RNAcentral
CCUACGGGAGGCUGCAGUGAGGAAUAUUGGUCAAUGGGCGCGAGCCUGAACCAGCCAAGCAGCGUGAAGGAUGACUGCCCUACGGGUUGUAAACUCCUUUUAUAAAGGAAUAAAGUGAGGCACGUGUGCCUUUUUGUAUGUACUUUAUGAAUAAGGAUAGGCUAACUCUGUGCCAGCAGCCGCGGUAAUACGGAGGAUCCGAUCGUUAUCCGGAUUUAUUGGGUUUAAAGGGAGCGUAGAUGGGGUGUUAAGUCAGUUGUGAAAGUUUGCGGCUCAACCGUAAGAUUGCAAUUGAGACUGGCAGCCUUGAGUACAGUUGAGGUAGGCGGAAUUCGUGGUGUAGCGGUGAAAUGCUUAGAUAUCACGAAGAACUCCGAUUGCGAAGGCAGCCUACUAAACUGCAACUGACAUUGAUGCUCGAAAGUGUGGGUAUCAAACAGGAUUAGAUACCCGGGUAGUC